AUGGCGAAGCCAAACCGGAUGAGCCUCACUGUCGGCGCGAGAAGAGUUUUCGACUUCAAGGUCGAAGACUACUCCUUGGCUCGAACGAUGGCCGGAGUUGGGGAGUCCUUCCAGUCCGACACCUUCUCCGUCGGCGGCUACGACUGGGCCGUGCGCUUCUCCCCGUGGAGUUCAUCGCUCAAUCUCGUGCUUUUGAGCGAGCUGCAGGCCAUCGAGCGCGUCGGGGCGAAGUUUGCGUUCACGCUGCUCGACAAGUCCGGCAAGCCGUCGGCGGCUGUGCGGAAGAAGAAGUGUUCGGAGUUCCUGCUCAAGGGCCAAGAACAUGGCUUUUACGGUUUCGUGAGCCGUGCAGAUCUGGGGAAGUACAUGCGCAGAGACUGCUUCGUCGUGCGCUGCUCCGUUUCUGUUCUCAGGCGACCAACAAGGCGCUAG
RNAcentral lists this ribosomal RNA (432 nucleotides) under Triticum aestivum (bread wheat). RNAcentral describes it as "partial small subunit ribosomal RNA". The record is from RNAcentral. Lineage: Eukaryota; Viridiplantae; Streptophyta; Magnoliopsida; Poales; Poaceae.